RNAcentral lists this long non-coding RNA (938 nucleotides) under Homo sapiens (human). Its description in RNAcentral is "HSALNT0164781". The record is from RNAcentral. Lineage: Eukaryota; Metazoa; Chordata; Mammalia; Primates; Hominidae.
GGUGUCCACAUGAACUCUGAAGGAGGAAGCCACGAUGUCAGCUGUCUGUUCCCUUUGUCAUCACUGCUAGACAGUGGGUGUCUGCGCUGGGGUGAACAAUAUGUUAGCCUUUGGCCAGGCGGUGAGCUUCCAAAAUGCAAACAUCUCAGCCUCUGUCUGCAGAGGUGAGAAUUCAGCUUGGCAGAGGAAUGGGACACUGUCAAGGAAGACAAGCUUUUGGAGUCAGACAAUCCCAGGUAUUUGCUGAUUUAUUUGUUCAAUGCUGGUCUCCCACACUAGACCAUGAGCAGGAAGGAGAGGCAGCAUGCAACUGUGCUCGUUGUCUACACAGGGCCUAGCACUGGGCCUGGGCCAGGGCAGGCACCUGGGAGGGCCUUGGUUUCUGAGGCUGAGAGAGGAUAAGCUAAGCAAGGGGCAGAACAGGACACCAACCAUCUCCAGACCCCAGUACAACACAGAUGGCAGGCCAAAGAGGGACUGUGUCGUCUGAUUCAAGAGUACAGACUACACAGCCAGAAUAAUCGGGGCCUGGCUUGGACUCUCUUUAAAUAUUCAUUCCUCAUCUGUAAAAUGAGCAUAUGAGUCCCACUUCACCAGACUGUAGGACAUACGUGAAGGACUCUGCAGUGUCUGGAACAUAUUUAUGGCCCCUGAAAUAAACAGUUAUUGAUGACAGAGAUGAAAAGAAGAAGAUCCAAUGGAGUAAUCUUCAAGGCCUGCUUCAAGUCUUGCCUUUGCUGCAAGAGAGAAGGUCACCUAUCUCCCCAGGUAGCCUCUCUCACCCUGACAAUGUAUCUUCACAGGUAAGGGACAAAGACAAGACUAGAAAUCAUCCCUCUGCCCACCUCAAGACAAAUGCAGAUCUGACUUCUUCUUCCUCUACUCUAUGUUUACUUUAUCUUAUGUAAAAUACAAGAUUUACUGAGCAGGAGCCGAAU